GAAGAUAGUGGCGAACGGGUGAGUAACACGGUGGGUAACCUGCCCAUAAGGAGGGGGAUAACAUCCGGAAACGGGUGCUAAUACCGCAUAGUUUUUCUUGAUCGCAUGAUUGAGAAAGGAAAGAUGGCCUUUGUGCUGUCGCUUAUGGAUGGACCCGCGGCGUAUUAGUUAGUUGGUGAGGUAACGGCUCACCAAGACGAUGAUACGUAGCCGACCUGAGAGGGUGAUCGGCCACAUUGGGACUGAGACACGGCCCAAACUCCUACGGGAGGCAGCAGUAGGGAAUCUUCCGCAAUGGACGAAAGUCUGACGGAGCAACGCCGCGUGAGUGAAGAAAGGUUUUCGGAUCGUAAAACUCUGUUGUCAGAGAAGAACAAGUUGGAGAGUAACUGCUCCAGCCUUGACGGUAUCUGACCAGAAAGCCACGGCUAACUACGUGCCAGCCGCCGC
RNAcentral lists this ribosomal RNA (450 nucleotides) under uncultured bacterium. RNAcentral's name for it is "bacterial SSU rRNA". It matches the Rfam family "Bacterial small subunit ribosomal RNA", at positions 88 to 518 of the family's 1533-position model. The record is from RNAcentral.